GGAAGUAAAAGUCGUAACAAGGUCUCCGUAGGUGAACCUGCGGAGGGAUCAUUACCGNUUCUUGGUCAUUUAGAGGAAGUAAAAGUCGUAACAAGGUCUCCGUAGGUGAACCUGCGGAGGGAUCAUUACUGAAUGGCCCUUUGGGCCUUCAACCUUCAAAAACAUGUGGAAGCAAGAUGUGCUUCGGUGCCUCUGGUGCCGCCUUUAUGCAGUGAAGCCUUAUUUGUCUGAACCAAAAUCAAAAAGUUAAAACUUUCAACAAAGGAUCUCUUGGCUCUCACAUCGAUGAAGAACGCAGCGAAGCGCGAAAUGUAGUGUGAAUCGCAGAACUUAGUGAAUCAUCGAAUCUUUGAACGCACAUUGCGCCUCCCAUCAUCGGGAGGCAUGCCUGUCUGAGCGUCAUUUAAACCAUAGCUCCCAUCUGGGACUGUACUGGGCAUCGCCGACGGCGUAGCCUCAAAGACAUUGGUCUAAUCAAGCGGNCGAGUUCCUUUAGGACGGACCGUUGGGUUGACCUUAAACCUCUGACUGACCUCAG
This 538-nucleotide unclassified non-coding RNA is filed under the name Archaeorhizomyces borealis. Its description in RNAcentral is "sequence contains ITS1, 5.8S rRNA gene, ITS2". The stretch from base 251 to 402 matches the Rfam family "5.8S ribosomal RNA". The record is from RNAcentral. Lineage: Eukaryota; Fungi; Ascomycota; Archaeorhizomycetes; Archaeorhizomycetales; Archaeorhizomycetaceae.